UGUUUCGGCUAGGGGGCCAUCCCGGCUUACCAACCCGAUGCAAACUGCGAAUACCGGAGAAUGUUAUCACGGGAGACACACGGCGGGUGCUAACGUCCGUCGUGAAGAGGGAAACAACCCAGACCGCCAGCUAAGGUCCCAAAGUCAUGGUUAAGUGGGAAACGAUGUGGGAAGGCCCAGACAGCCAGGAUGUUGGCUUAGAAGCAGCCAUCAUUUAAAGAAAGCGUAAUAGCUCACUGGUCGAGUCGGCCUGCGCGGAAGAUGUAACGGGGCUAAACCAUGCACCGAAGCUGCGGCAGCGACACUAUGUGUUGUUGGGUAGGGGAGCGUUCUGUAAGCCUGUGAAGGUGGCCUGUGAGGGUUGCUGGAGGUAUCAGAAGUGCGAAUGCUGACAUAAGUAACGAUAAAGCGGGUGAAAAGCCCGCUCGCCGGAAGACCAAGGGUUCCUGUCCAACGUUAAUCGGGGCAGGGUGAGUCGACCCCUAAGGCGAGGCCGAAAGGCGUAGUCGAUGGGAAACGGGUUAAUAUUCCCGUACUUGGUGUUACUGCGAAGGGGGGACGGAGAAGGCUAUGUUGGCCGGGCGACGGUUGUCCCGGUUUAAGCGUGUAGGCUGGUUUUCCAGGCAAAUCCGGAAAAUCAAGGCUGAGGCGUGAUGACGAGGCACUACGGUGCUGAAGCAACAAAUGCCCUGCUUCCAGGAAAAGCCUCUAAGCAUCAGGUAACAUCAAAUCGUACCCCAAACCGACACAGGUGGUCAGGUAGAGAAUACCAAGGCGCUUGAGAGAACUCGGGUGAAGGAACUAGGCAAAAUGGUGCCGUAACUUCGGGAGAAGGCACGCUGACAUGUAGGUGAAGUGAUUUACUCAUGGAGCUGAAGUCAGUCGAAGAUACCAGCUGGCUGCAACUGUUUAUUAAAAACACAGCACUGUGCAAACACGAAAGUGGACGUAUACGGUGUGACGCCUGCCCGGUGCCGGAAGGUUAAUUGAUGGGGUCAGCGCAAGCGAAGCUCCUGAUCGAAGCCCCGGUAAACGGCGGCCGUAACUAUAACGGUCCUAAGGUAGCGAAAUUCCUUGUCGGGUAAGUUCCGACCUGCACGAAUGGCGUAAUGAUGGCCAGGCUGUCUCCACCCGAGACUCAGUGAAAUUGAACUCGCUGUGAAGAUGCAGUGUACCCGCGGCAAGACGGAAAGACCCCGUGAACCUUUACUAUAGCUUGACACUGAACAUUGAGCCUUGAUGUGUAGGAUAGGUGGGAGGCUUUGAAGUGUGGACGCCAGUCUGCAUGGAGCCGACCUUGAAAUACCACCCUUUAAUGUUUGAUGUUCUAACGUGGACCCGUAAUCCGGGUUGCGGACAGUGUCUGGUGGGUAGUUUGACUGGGGCGGUCUCCUCCUAAAGAGUAACGGAGGAGCACGAAGGUUGGCUAAUCCUGGUCGGACAUCAGGAGGUUAGUGCAAUGGCAUAAGCCAGCUUGACUGCGAGCGUGACGGCGCGAGCAGGUGCGAAAGCAGGUCAUAGUGAUCCGGUGGUUCUGAAUGGAAGGGCCAUCGCUCAACGGAUAAAAGGUACUCCGGGGAUAACAGGCUGAUACCGCCCAAGAGUUCAUAUCGACGGCGGUGUUUGGCACCUCGAUGUCGGCUCAUCACAUCCUGGGGCUGAAGUAGGUCCCAAGGGUAUGGCUGUUCGCCAUUUAAAGUGGUACGCGAGCUGGGUUUAGAACGUCGUGAGACAGUUCGGUCCCUAUCUGCCGUGGGCGCUGGAGAACUGAGGGGGGCUGCUCCUAGUACGAGAGGACCGGAGUGGACGCAUCACUGGUGUUCGGGUUGUCAUGCCAAUGGCACUGCCCGGUAGCUAAAUGCGGAAGAGAUAAGUGCUGAAAGCAUCUAAGCACGAAACUUGCCCCGA
RNAcentral lists this ribosomal RNA (1908 nucleotides) under Salmonella enterica subsp. enterica serovar Poona. RNAcentral describes it as "partial 23S ribosomal RNA". It matches the Rfam family "Bacterial large subunit ribosomal RNA", at positions 911 to 2802 of the family's 2925-position model. The record is from RNAcentral. Lineage: Bacteria; Pseudomonadati; Pseudomonadota; Gammaproteobacteria; Enterobacterales; Enterobacteriaceae.